Long non-coding RNA from Perognathus longimembris pacificus (Pacific pocket mouse), 744 nucleotides. RefSeq lists it as uncharacterized. The record is from RefSeq and is a predicted model, not a curated record. The transcript has 2 exons. NCBI's taxonomy places the organism in Eukaryota, Metazoa, Chordata, Mammalia, Rodentia, Heteromyidae.
GAUUGUGAGCUUUUUUUUCAAGAUUGCUUAGAAGAUUUCUUAUGACAAUAUUCUAUUAACAGUAGUUCUGUAUUACUUUAUGGCAGGAGUCAGUAGCCUGGAAAAAGGGUAUCUGCUUAUUUUUAUAAGUAAUUCUUUUAGAAUACCACCACCUGUUUAUAUAUUGUUCAUGUCUACUGUAUUGUGAGGCUGCCAUAGAUAGAGUAUGGCCCACAUGCCUAAAAUAUUCACUGUGAGACCUCAGAUUCAGAUUUAUCUAAUUUUCAUCUUUAACAUCUAACCAUAGGGCUGUGCACUGCUGAAACCUAGAAUGUAUUGAAUGAUCCUUGCAUAUGUUUAAUGUUUAACAGAAUUAUUUGAAAAAUAUGAAAAUACAUUUUAUGCAUUAUGAAUUCAGACAUAUUACUUCAAUAGCUGGAUAUUCCAGUGAGAACAUCUCUAUCAAUCAACAGUUUUGUUGAGUAAGAAAGAGAUUUGCAUUUAGUUGAAAUGUGGAAUUUUAAGAAAUGUUAACAUACUGAAUAUGUAGUUUAAAAACCUUUUGUGAAGCAUAUACAGCUAAAUUAUGGUAACAUAGCUUGCCUUAAACAGCUAGCAUUUGGGGAAUCAUGUUUUAUUUAUAACUCAGAUGUGAUGGUACCUGCCUAUAGUCCCAAAACUUGGCAGGUUGAGGCAGGUGGAUCUCAAGUUCAAAGCCAACUUGACUAUAUAUAACAAUACCUGUCUUUAAAAAAAAAGAAUUAA